Long non-coding RNA from Orbicella faveolata, 526 nucleotides. Lineage: Eukaryota; Metazoa; Cnidaria; Anthozoa; Scleractinia; Merulinidae. The record is from RefSeq and is a predicted model, not a curated record.
CAUGAGUAUUUUGUACUUGCAUUGUAAUACCUAUUUCUCAUGAAUGGAUAAUUUGUCUUUUCUCCAGGAUUAUAAUGAAUAUUUCAGGGAUCUGAAUCAUAUAUGCGUCAUCAAUGAGAAUGGCAAAAAGAAAUAUUCCAUCCCACAGUAAAGACAAAAAAAGGCAGCUGAUAUCCAGACAGUUGACGCUUGCUAUCUGACCUGGAAUUGCUACUUAACUGACCUUUCGAUUCCUGGUUCUAACCAAUGUAGAUCUCCUUACCUCAGUGUAUCACGUGAUUAGUCAGGUAAUAAGGAUUGAGUACCUGAUCAUCUCAGGCAUACAUCUUGACCAAACACCAAAUCCUCCAAAGCAGGAUUAUAGAAAAUGUAUGAAAAGAGUAGGGAGAAUAUUGGUGCUGGCAAUGUUUUGUGCAGACUAGAUUUAGAGAUUACUUAGGGGACUGAAUUAACUUCGUUAUUUUACUCCUACAUGUACAAAUGAGAAAGUAUUUGGUAAUAAAACAGAUGAAGUUGAGGUAAUUGA